This 431-nucleotide ribosomal RNA is filed under the name uncultured bacterium. Its description in RNAcentral is "bacterial SSU rRNA". It matches the Rfam family "Bacterial small subunit ribosomal RNA", at positions 29 to 506 of the family's 1533-position model. The record is from RNAcentral.
ACGAACGCUGGCGGCAGGCUUAAUACAUGCAAGUCGAACGGGCCCUUCGGGGUCAGUGGCGCACGGGUGCGUAACGCGUGGGAACAUGCCCUUAGGUACGGAACAACACAGGGAAACUUGUGCUAAUACCGUAUAAUAUCUCUGGAUCAAAGAUUUAUCGCCUAAGGAUUGGCCCGCGUUAGAUUAGGUAGUUGGUGGGGUAAUGGCCUACCAAGCCGACGAUCUAUAGCUGGUCUGAGAGGAUGAUCAGCCACACUGGAACUGAGACACGGUCCAGACUCCUACGGGAGGCAGCAGUAAGGAAUAUUGGACAAUGGGCGAAAGCCUGAUCCAGCCAUGCCGCGUGAGUGAUGAAGGCCUUAGGGUUGUAAAGCUCUUUUAGAUGGGAAGAUAAUGACUGUACCAUCAGAAUAAGCCCCGGCUAAAUUCGU